UUCAAAGAAUUUUCCAAAUUU
Molecule: non-coding RNA, 21 nt
Filed under: Caenorhabditis elegans
Lineage: Eukaryota; Metazoa; Nematoda; Chromadorea; Rhabditida; Rhabditidae
Source: RNAcentral